UACGGAGGAUCCGAGCGUUAUCCGGAUUUAUUGGGUUUAAAGGGUGCGCAGGCGGGGGAUUAAGUCGGCGGUGAAAUUUUGCAGCUCAACUGUAAAAGUGCCUUCGAAACUGGUUUCCUUGAGUGUAGAUGAAGUAGGCGGAAUUUGUGGUGUAGCGGUGAAAUGCAUAGAUAUCACGAGGAACUCCGAUUGCGCAGGCAGCUUACUAAGCUACUACUGACGCUCAGGCACGAAAGCGUGGGGAUCAAACAGGAUUAGAUACCCGGGUAGU
This 271-nucleotide ribosomal RNA is filed under the name uncultured prokaryote. RNAcentral describes it as "partial 16S ribosomal RNA". It matches the Rfam family "Bacterial small subunit ribosomal RNA", at positions 524 to 794 of the family's 1533-position model. The record is from RNAcentral.